RNAcentral lists this ribosomal RNA (666 nucleotides) under uncultured bacterium. RNAcentral's name for it is "bacterial SSU rRNA". It matches the Rfam family "Bacterial small subunit ribosomal RNA", at positions 111 to 794 of the family's 1533-position model. The record is from RNAcentral.
UAACGCGUGAGCAACCUACCUUUCAGAGGGGGAUAACGAUUGGAAACGAUCGCUAAUACCGCAUAACGUCCGGAUGGGACAUCCUGUCUGGACCAAAGGAGAAAUCCGCUGAGAGAUGGGCUCGCGUCCAAUUAGCUAGUUGGCGGGGUAAAGGCCCACCAAGGCGACGAUUGGUAGCCGGACUGAGAGGUUGAACGGCCACAUUGGGACUGAGACACGGCCCAGACUCCUACGGGAGGCAGCAGUGGGGAAUAUUGCACAAUGGGGGGAACCCUGAUGCAGCGACGCCGCGUGAGGGAAGAAGGUUUUCGGAUUGUAAACCUCUGUCCUCUGUGACGAUAAUGACGGUAGCAGAGGAGGAAGCCACGGCUAACUACGUGCCAGCAGCCGCGGUAAUACGUAGGUGGCGAGCGUUAUCCGGAAUUACUGGGUGUAAAGGGAGCGUAGGCGGGGGAACAAGUUGAAUGUUUAAGAUAUGGGCUCAACUCAUAUAAGCGUUCAAAACUGUUUUUCUUGAGUGAAGUAGAGGUAAGCGGAAUUCCUAGUGUAGCGGUGGAAUGCGUAAAUAUUAGGAGGAACACCAGUGGCGAAGGCGGCUUACUGGGCUUUAACUGACGCUGAGGCUCGAAAGCGUGGGUAGCAAACAGGAUUAGAUACCCUGGUAGU